Molecule: ribosomal RNA, 511 nt
Filed under: uncultured bacterium
Lineage: Bacteria
Description: bacterial SSU rRNA
Rfam family: Bacterial small subunit ribosomal RNA
Source: RNAcentral
GAUCAUGGCUCAGGAUGAACGCUAGCGGCAGGCUUAACACAUGCAAGUCGAGGGGCAGCGUGGAGUAGCAAUACUCUGACAGCGACCGGCGAAAGGGUGAGUAACGCGUGAGCAACAUGCCCGUAGUUGGGGGAUAGUCGAUGGAAACGUCGCGUAAUACCCCGUAACAACAGAGGCCGCAUGACCUUUGUUUAAGAGAUUUAUUGUCUACGGAUUGGCUCGCGUACCAUUAGCUAGUUGGCGGGGUAACGGCCCACCAAGGCGACGAUGGUUAGGGGUUCUGAGAGGAAGGUCCCCCACAUUGGAACUGAGACACGGUCCAGACUCCUACGGGAGGCAGCAGUGAGGAAUAUUGGUCAAUGGCCGAGAGGCUGAACCAGCCAUGCCGCGUGCGGGGAAUGACGGCCCUAUGGGUUGUAAACCGCUUUUGUUGGGGAGCAAUAAGGUUCACGUGUGGACUGAUGAGAGUACCCAGCGAAUAAGCAUCGGCUAACUCCGUGCCAGCCGCUGC